This 1346-nucleotide ribosomal RNA is filed under the name uncultured bacterium. Its description in RNAcentral is "partial 16S ribosomal RNA". It matches the Rfam family "Bacterial small subunit ribosomal RNA", at positions 28 to 1381 of the family's 1533-position model. The record is from RNAcentral.
GACGAACGCUGGCGGCGUGCCUAACACAUGCAAGUCGAACGGAAAGGCCCUGCUUUUGUGGGGUGCUCGAGUGGCGAACGGGUGAGUAACACGUGAGUAACCUGCCCUUGACUUUGGGAUAACUUCAGGAAACUGGGGCUAAUACCGGAUAGGAGCUCCUGCUGCAUGGUGGGGGUUGGAAAGUUUCGGCGGUUGGGGAUGGACUCGCGGCUUAUCAGCUUGUUGGUGGGGUAGUGGCUUACCAAGGCUUUGACGGGUAGCCGGCCUGAGAGGGUGACCGGCCACAUUGGGACUGAGAUACGGCCCAGACUCCUACGGGAGGCAGCAGUGGGGAAUAUUGCACAAUGGGCGGAAGCCUGAUGCAGCAACGCCGCGUGCGGGAUGACGGCCUUCGGGUUGUAAACCGCUUUCGCCUGUGACGAAGCGUGAGUGACGGUAAUGGGUAAAGAAGCACCGGCUAACUACGUGCCAGCAGCCGCGGUGAUACGUAGGGUGCGAGCGUUGUCCGGAUUUAUUGGGCGUAAAGGGCUCGUAGGUGGUUGAUCGCGUCGGAAGUGUAAUCUUGGGGCUUAACCCUGAGCGUGCUUUCGAUACGGGUUGACUUGAGGAAGGUAGGGGAGAAUGGAAUUCCUGGUGGAGCGGUGGAAUGCGCAGAUAUCAGGAGGAACACCAGUGGCGAAGGCGGUUCUCUGGGCCUUUCCUGACGCUGAGGAGCGAAAGCGUGGGGAGCGAACAGGCUUAGAUACCCUGGUAGUCCACGCUGUAAACGGUGGGUACUAGGUGUGGGGUCCAUUCCACGGGUUCCGUGCCGUAGCUAACGCUUUAAGUACCCCGCCUGGGGAGUACGGCCGCAAGGCUAAAACUCAAAGGAAUUGACGGGGCCCCGCACAAGCGGCGGAGCAUGCGGAUUAAUUCGAUGCAACGCGUAGAACCUUACCUGGGUUUGACAUGGAUCGGGAGUGCUCAGAGAUGGGUGUGCCUCUUUUGGGGUCGGUUCACAGGUGGUGCAUGGCUGUCGUCAGCUCGUGUCGUGAGAUGUUGGGUUAAGUCCCGCAACGAGCGCAACCCUUGUUCACUGUUGCCAGCACGUUAUGGUGGGGACUCAGUGGAGACCGCCGGGGUCAACUCGGAGGAAGGUGGGGAUGACGUCAAGUCAUCAUGCCCCUUAUGUCCAGGGCUUCACGCAUGCUACAAUGGCUGGUACAGAGAGUGGCGAGCCUGUGAGGGUGAGCGAAUCCCGGAAAGCCGGUCUCAGUUCGGAUUGGGGUCUGCAACUCGACCUCAUGAAGUCGGAGUCGCUAGUAAUCGCAGAUCAGCAACGCUGCGGUGAAUACGUUCCCGGGGCU